AGAGUUUGAUCCUGGCUCAGGACGAACGCUGGCGGCGUGCCUAAUACAUGCAAGUCGAGCGAACUGAUUAGAAGCUUGCUUCUAUGACGUUAGCGGCGGACGGGUGAGUAACACGUGGGCAACCUGCCUGUAAGACUGGGAUAACUUCGGGAAACCGAAGCUAAUACCGGAUAGGAUCUUCUCCUUCAUGGGAGAUGAUUGAAAGAUGGUUUCGGCUAUCACUUACAGAUGGGCCCGCGGUGCAUUAGCUAGUUGGUGAGGUAACGGCUCACCAAGGCAACGAUGCAUAGCCGACCUGAGAGGGUGAUCGGCCACACUGGGACUGAGACACGGCCCAGACUCCUACGGGAGGCAGCAGUAGGGAAUCUUCCGCAAUGGACGAAAGUCUGACGGAGCAACGCCGCGUGAGUGAUGAAGGCUUUCGGGUCGUAAAACUCUGUUGUUAGGGAAGAACAAGUACGAGAGUAACUGCUCGUACCUUGACGGUACCUAACCAGAAAGCCACGGCUAACUACGUGCCAGCAGCCGCGGUAAUACGUAGGUGGCAAGCGUUAUCCGGAAUUAUUGGGCGUAAAGCGCGCGCAGGCGGUUUCUUAAGUCUGAUGUGAAAGCCCACGGCUCAACCCGUG
RNAcentral lists this ribosomal RNA (629 nucleotides) under uncultured marine bacterium. Its description in RNAcentral is "bacterial SSU rRNA". It matches the Rfam family "Bacterial small subunit ribosomal RNA", at positions 8 to 617 of the family's 1533-position model. The record is from RNAcentral.